CUAUACAUGACUCUGCGCAUAUCAAUAAGCGGAGGAAAAGAAACUAACAAGGAUUCCCUUAGUAACGGCGAGUGAAGCGGGAAGAGCUCAAAUUUGAAAUCUUCAAGGUUAUACCUUGACGAAUUGUAGUUUAAAGAAGUGUUUUCUGCUGAAGUUUUGGUAAAAGUUCCUUGGAAUAGGACAUCAUAGAGGGUGAGAAUCCCGUAUUUGACCAUUAUUUUCAGCUUUGUGAUACACUUUCAAAGAGUCGGAUUGUUUGGGAAUGCAGUCCAAAAUGGGUGGUAAAUUUCAUCUAAAGCUAAAUAUUGGCGAGAGACCGAUAGCGAACAAGUACCGUGAGGGAAAGAUGAAAAGAACUUUGAAAAGAGAGUUAAACAGUACGUGAAAUUGUCAAAAGGGAAGCGUUUGACACCAGUGUUGUUUUCUCGAAAAUCAAUUAAAAAUGGCUCGAUUUUGUAUUGCUUGAGACCUUAAAAGCUCACUGUACAUUUUUCGUGUCUUUUUUAAUGCACUUUUCGUUUAACAAGUCAACAUCAGUUUCUUUUGUUGUAAAAGGGUCAUUGGAAGGUGGCUUUCUUUUCGGAGAAAGUGUUUAUAGCCUUUGGCCUCUGCAAUCGGAGAGACUGAGGUCUGCAGCGUAGACUCUUCGGGGUUAGAUACAUUUGUGCUAAGUUAUAGCUUUUUAUAGACAACUUGUUGACUAUAAUUAGUCUUGUAGCUUACUCGCUUAUGCUAUUUUACCUACGCUUAGGAUGUUGAAGAUGUAGCACAUCAU
This 775-nucleotide ribosomal RNA is filed under the name uncultured Neocallimastigales. RNAcentral's name for it is "partial large subunit ribosomal RNA". It matches the Rfam family "Eukaryotic large subunit ribosomal RNA", at positions 22 to 620 of the family's 3401-position model. The record is from RNAcentral. Lineage: Eukaryota; Fungi; Neocallimastigomycota; Neocallimastigomycetes; Neocallimastigales.